AUGAACGCUGACAGAAUGCUUAACACCUGCCAGUCUCCUUGAACUUCGGUUUGGGUGGCGGACGGGUGAGUAACGCGUAAAGAACUUGCCUCACAGUUAGGGACAACAUUUGGAAACGAAUGCUAAUACCUGAUAUUAUGAUUUUAGGGCAUCCUAAAAUUAUGAAAGCUAUAUGCGCUGUGAGAGAGCUUUGCGUCCCAUUAGCUAGUUGGAGAGGUAACGGCUCACCAAGGCGAUGAUGGGUAGCCGGCCUGAGAGGGUGAACGGCCACAAGGGGACUGAGACACGGCCCUUACUCCUACGGGAGGCAGCAGUGGGGAAUAUUGGACAAUGGACCAAAAGUCUGAUCCAGCAAUUCUGUGUGCACGAUGACGUUUUUCGGAAUGUAAAGUGCUUUCAGUUGGGAAGAAAAAAAUGACGGUACCAACAGAAGAAGUGACGGCUAAAUACGUG
Molecule: ribosomal RNA, 453 nt
Filed under: uncultured bacterium
Lineage: Bacteria
Description: partial 16S ribosomal RNA
Rfam family: Bacterial small subunit ribosomal RNA
Source: RNAcentral